AUAUGUAGGCAUUCACAUACAUAUAUACAUAUGCCAUAUAAACACGCCAUAUACAUAUCAUAUACUGCAUGUACAUGUAACUCGAAAUGAGCACUUAUGUAUAAUUUUUUAAAUAUUAUUAUAUUAUAAAUGAGUAUAUUAAAAGAUAACUUGCUUUUUCACUUUUUAAAUCAUGUUUCUGUAAUCAUGUUUUUUUAUAAAUAUAAUUAAAUUUAAUUCAAUUUAUUAACUUCCCUUUUGGCAUUUGUUAUAUAUUUACUUUUGCUACUCCCUUAUAUGUAAUUGUAAAUAUAUAUAUAUAUAUAUAUAUAUAUAUAUAAGUACAUACGUUUAAAUGACAAAGUUGCAUUCUUUAAACACCCCUCACUAUGAAACAUCAAACGAUUACAGUGACUUAUUCGUUGGAAAUAUAUUCAGUGAGAUUCAAAAAGAAAUAAACAAUACUUAUAUCAUUCAAGGUACAUCGGAAGAAGCUUCUAUAAAAUGUAGCCCUGAAAAAAUAACUGGUAACGAUAAUAAAUACAGCAGUUGCAAUGACACCAAUAACAACAACAACAACAACAACGGCAAUAACAACCACAACAAUACUUACAUUUGUAAUUAUAAUAAUUUAAACACAAAUUUAAAUAAGAAGGCAAUACAUAGUAAUGUAAUAAAUAUAGAAGAGUAUGUAAAUUUCAUAAAAGCUAAACAGAAUGAAUAUAAGAAGAAAAAAAAAGAUUAUAUUAUUGCAUACAUUAACAAGAGAAAAAUAAGAAAAUUUCAUUAUGAGGAUAUGCAAAAUUUAUUUAAAAGAUAUUUGUUAUUUUUAAAUUUCCAAGAAAAAUGUUUAUUUUGUAAUAAUUAUUUGUCAUUUUCUUUUUUAUAUUUUAAUAAAUAUAUAAAAAAAAAAAGAAAGAAUAUAGAUACAUACAAAAAAAAUAAUAAAAAAUUAUUAUAUUUUUGUGAAUGUUUAGAAAAUAUUGAAUAUUCUAAACAGCAUAUAAACGAUAAAGAUGAUGAUGGUUAUAUUGAUAUGAUUCAUCUGACAGAAAAUACAUUUUUUUCAAUUAAUACCCCCUCAAAAUACAAUACUAUUAGAAGAGAUUUUAUGAAGAAGAUAAAAUAUACUAAAAUUUUCAAGCACAAUUAUGUCAACAAAAAAAUUUAUAAAACAGUUCCUAUUAAAAAAAUUGAGAAUAUAGACACAACAUAUAUAAACAAAUUUAAAUGUAUUAAGGAACCUCAAUUAACUAUUGAACAUGUUAAAAAGUUGAAUAGUAACACAGAAAUUUUCACUCCACUGUUUAAAAUUCAAAACGUUUGUAUGACCCUAACAACAGUUGAAAUAAAUUUAUUAAUUGCAUGUUUAAAAGUAGUUAAUAAGAUUGUGUGUGUUGAUCGUACUGACACAUUCACCAUAAUAAUUUUUUGCUAUUUAAGUAAUUUAUAUAAUAUUGUAAUGAGGUUAAAUGCGGAAUGCGUUUUAAGUUGCUACUCCCAGACGCAUUUGGAACAUUUUUUAUACGUAAGUGACAUAUAUAUAUACACACAUGGAUGUAUGCAUAUGAUUAUAAUUUACAAAUUUAUGUAAUUUAUUUGUCUUCUAUUUUAUUUAUUUAUUUUAUUAUUAUUAUUUUAUUAUUAUUAUUAUUUUAUUAUUAUUAUUUUA
Long non-coding RNA from Piliocolobus tephrosceles (Ugandan red Colobus), 1651 nucleotides. Lineage: Eukaryota; Metazoa; Chordata; Mammalia; Primates; Cercopithecidae. The record is from Ensembl.